Trichonephila inaurata madagascariensis is the source of this 72-nucleotide non-coding RNA. NCBI's taxonomy places the organism in Eukaryota, Metazoa, Arthropoda, Arachnida, Araneae, Nephilidae. The record is from the annotation of a GenBank genome assembly.
AGCAGAGUGGUGCAGUGGAAGCGUUUUGGGCCCGUAACUAAGAGGUCCAUGGAUCGAAACCACGCUCUGCUA